This 1534-nucleotide unclassified non-coding RNA is filed under the name Hevea brasiliensis (rubber tree). The record is from RNAcentral. Lineage: Eukaryota; Viridiplantae; Streptophyta; Magnoliopsida; Malpighiales; Euphorbiaceae.
GGGUUCCCAAGAUGCAAAAGGCCAGUAAAUUGGGCUGUGCAACCUCUGAAAAUUGUAAGGCAUAACGUCGCAUUUAAGAUUGUCCGAGCACUUCUUUAAAUAUUGUCCUAGAGGAAAAAGUUAAGACCUUUCCCAUGAAUAAGAAAUUAAAAUAACUAUUCCUACACACUUGUUCUUCCACCAGAAAUCAACUCACACCAUUACCACCAACUAUCAGAUUGUAAGGAAGAAGAGCAUUCUCUAAUGUCAGACCCUGAAUCAGUAUUGGCCUCUGCAAGAGUAAUAGUAAGUGGUUGCCACCCAGAAUGAUGGUGUAUAAUCCAUUUCUUUAUGUCUAUUACCAUGUUUAAGAUCUGAAGUACAUUACCCAAAGCAAAAUCUUUCAAGCACAUGCUCUUUAAAAUAGUAGCAGCUUCAUACCUGCACCGAGAAGAUAGAAUUGCAGAUCGCCCAGCAGGAGAUGCCAGAUAUUUCUGAAUUUCAUCCCACGUUGCUUUUCGAUAUGAAUUAGGAUUGCCACCUAUAGGGUUCACACAUUUCCAGAGUUUCUCAUUCUUACCAACAUACAACUGCACAGCUCCUAAGUUCUGCUUCACAAUCAUCUGCUGCUCAAUAGCACUCUCAAGAGCCUUCUUAAUGUCAGUAUUGCGAUGCUUGGGAUCUCCAUAUCGAAUGCAAUCAACUAUAUUAGCUUCAGUUGGCAUUAGCUUCUCACUUUUAAGGGUGUUCAAAGCAAGUAACAUAACUCCUAUAAGGCCUUGAACAUAUAUUGGAGGUUUGGGGCAUCCUAGACUCCCCCAUAUAAUAUUAGCAGAAGCAACAUCAGUAGCUGCUGUUUCUGUCGCUGAUGAAGAUGGUGGAUAUUCUGGGUAAACAGGGUACCUUUUUGGUGUCUCGUGGUAUCCUGAUGGCAUGUUCUGUGGCACAUAUCCAUUUUGUGAGUUACUUAAGUUAACAGACUUUGAAGCUUUUUUCUUUGGAUCAUGCUUUGGCUCUCCACCUCGUCUUUGAGGAGUUGGAGGGUUGUGAAAGCUGGUUGAGUAUGCAGAAAUGUUCAAAUUACCAAUAUCAGGCACAUUUGUAUUUGGCGAUGAGGUAAAGGUAGUCCCAUUUGGCCUAGCAGGCAUCAUAGGAGGAGCAUGGGUUUGAAUAUUAGGUGGGUACAAACUACCUGCUGUAAAAUCAAGUUGCAUAGCUGGAACAUUUGGCCUUAAUGGUUGCGGAUAUUGAUUUUGAUGGUUGCCAUGAACAUGAGUGAGCUCAUUCCGAGUAAAGUUAGGAUUUCCAUGAAAAAAAUCUGGAGGAGGUAUAUUUAGGGGACCUUUUGGGACAGUAGGACCAGGUUGGUAAGAGUUUGAAUUAUGCGGAUCUUCUUGGGUCCUGACAGGCAUAUUUGAUGUUUUUGAUCCAUUUGAUUGGUUCAAAUUUCUUCGGGUGGUUUUCCCUUUCUGUUUAGUUGUGUAAGGAGUUCUCUGAUUUCCCAUAGUGGAAUUUUCAGGAUACAUAUCCACUGGUUGCUUUAUGUGAAUGGCAU